Molecule: long non-coding RNA, 636 nt
Organism: Bos taurus (domestic cattle)
Lineage: Eukaryota; Metazoa; Chordata; Mammalia; Artiodactyla; Bovidae
Source: Ensembl
GAACUGAGAUCUGACUGGGGAGAGUCUUGAGUGCCAUGCUGAGAAUCACACUUCAUCCUUUGAGUCUAAGCCAUCACAGUCUGGGUCUGGAACGCUAUUCCAGUUGCAGAGUGCAAGAAGAUAAGCUCCACAGGGACAGAGAACUAACGGUAUUCAUUGAUGGUCGAACAGGAACACAAGAAAUACUUGUUGGAUCAUUGAAUAAAUGAACAGUGCCAUCUGCCCUCUGCAUCAGCAGGACUCCCAGGAGGAGGUCACCAUCAGCUGGAAGGAAUCAGUGCCAAUGGCUCCACCUCGCACCCCUGACCUCUGUUACCACCUCUUUCGGAGACACCAUGGUCUCUUAGAAGCCCGGCUUUGCAAUGUCUGAAGCCCCUGUGAUGGAAACUUGAGAGAGCAGGUGGGAUGGCUGACAUUGGCAUAGCACCUACUGUAUACCUGGGCUUCCCAGGUGGCACUAGUGGUAAAGAGCCCGCCUGCCAAUGCAGGAGACACAAGAGACUCAGGUUCGAUCCCUGGUUUGGGAAGAUCUCCUGGAGGAUGGCAUGACAACCCACCCCAGUAUUUUUGCCUGGAGAAUCCCAUGGACAGAGGAGGCUGGCAGGCUACAGUCCAUGGGGUCGCACAGAGUUGGAC